GAUGAACGCUGGCGGCGUGCCUAAUACAUGCAAGUCGAGCGAACAGACGAGGAGCUUGCUCCUCUGACGUUAGCGGCGGACGGGUGAGUAACACGUGGAUAACCUACCUAUAAGACUGGGAUAACUUCGGGAAACCGGAGCUAAUACCGGAUAAUAUAUUGAACCGCAGGGUUCAAUAGUGAAAGACGGUUUUGCUGUCACUUAUGGAUGGAUCCGCGCCGCAUUAGCUAGUUGGUAAGGUAACGGCUUACCAAGGCGACGAUGCGUAGCCGACCUGAGAGGGUGAUCGGCCACACUGGAACUGAGACACGGUCCAGACUCCUACGGGAGGCAGCAGUAGGGAAUCUUCCGCAAUGGGCGAAAGCUUGACGGAGCAACGCCGCGUGAGUGAUGAAGGUCUUCGGAUCGUAAAACUCUGUUAUUAGGGAAGAACAAAUGUGUAAGUAACUAUGCACGUCUUGACGGUACCUAAUCAGAAAGCCACGGCUAACUACGUG
This 497-nucleotide ribosomal RNA is filed under the name uncultured bacterium. RNAcentral's name for it is "partial 16S ribosomal RNA". It matches the Rfam family "Bacterial small subunit ribosomal RNA", at positions 28 to 507 of the family's 1533-position model. The record is from RNAcentral.